Molecule: ribosomal RNA, 208 nt
Filed under: uncultured bacterium
Lineage: Bacteria
Description: partial 16S ribosomal RNA
Rfam family: Bacterial small subunit ribosomal RNA
Source: RNAcentral
CGUGUAGGCGGAUGGGGACGUCGGUUGCUGAAAUCCCCCGGCUCAACCGGGGAACGGGCACUGAAACGCCCCGUCUGGAGGGACGUAGGGGGACCUGGAACUUCCGGUGGAGCGGUGAAAUGCGUUGAGAUCGGAAGGAACGCCCGUGGCGAAAGCGAGGUCCUGGACGUUUUCUGACGCUGAGACGCGAAAGCUAGGGUAGCGAACG